UACGUAGGGCGCAAGCGUUGUCCGGAAUUAUUGGGCGUAAAGAGCUCGUAGGCGGCCAGUUGCGUCCGCUGUGAAAUCCCGGGGCUCAACCCCGGGCCUGCAGUGGAUACGGGCUGGCUAGAGGCAGGCAGGGGGAGAACGGAAUUCCUGGUGUAGCGGUGGAAUGCGCAGAUAUCAGGAGGAACACCAAUUGCGAAGGCAGCUCGCUGGGACGUUACUGACGCUGAGACGCGAAAGCGUGGGGGAGCAAACAGG
This 255-nucleotide ribosomal RNA is filed under the name uncultured bacterium. RNAcentral's name for it is "partial 16S ribosomal RNA". It matches the Rfam family "Bacterial small subunit ribosomal RNA", at positions 524 to 776 of the family's 1533-position model. The record is from RNAcentral.